UACGGGGGGAGCAAGCGUUGUUCGGAUUUACUGGGCGUAAAGGGCGCGUAGGCGGUCAGCACAAGUCAGUUGUGAAAUCUCCGGGCUUAACUCGGAAAGGUCAACUGUUACUGUGCGACUAGAGUGCAGAAGGGGCAACUGGAAUUCUCGGUGUAGCGGUGAAAUGCGUAGAUAUCGAGAGGAACACCUGCGGCGAAGGCGGGUUGCUGGGCUGACACUGACGCUCAUGCACGAAAGCGUGGGGAGCAAACAGG
RNAcentral lists this ribosomal RNA (254 nucleotides) under uncultured bacterium. Its description in RNAcentral is "partial 16S ribosomal RNA". It matches the Rfam family "Bacterial small subunit ribosomal RNA", at positions 524 to 776 of the family's 1533-position model. The record is from RNAcentral.